This 280-nucleotide small RNA is filed under the name marine eukaryotic metagenome. RNAcentral's name for it is "5' ureB small RNA". It matches the Rfam family "5' ureB small RNA". The record is from RNAcentral.
CGAUCUGCUGGGGGCAGAUGAAAUGGAUAUGGCUGUCGAAGCCGCCCGCGGUCAGGAUACGCCCCUCGCCGGCGAUGGCCUCGGUGCCCGGGCCGAUCACGAUGUCCACGCCCGGCUGGGUGUCGGGGUUGCCGGCCUUGCCGAUCCCCGCGAUCCGCCCGUCGCGGAGCCCGAUAUCCGCCUUCGUGAUCCCGGUGUGAUCGACGAUCAGGGCAUUGGUGAUGACGGUGUCCACCGCGCCCUCGGCCCGUGUCACCUGCGAUUGCCCCAUGCCGUCGCG